AUUGAACGCUGGCGGCAUGCCUUACACAUGCAAGUCGAACGGCAGCACGGGAGCAAUCCUGGUGGCGAGUGGCGAACGGGUGAGUAAUAUAUCGGAACGUGCCCAGUCGUGGGGAUAACGUAGCGAAAGCUACGCUAAUACCGCAUACGAUCUAUGGAUGAAAGCGGGGGAUCGCAAGACCUCGCGCGAUUGGAGCGGCCGAUAUCAGAUUAGGUAGUUGGUGAGGUAAAGGCUCACCAAGCCGACGAUCUGUAGCUGGUCUGAGAGGACGACCAGCCACACUGGGACUGAGACACGGCCCCAGACUCCUACGGGAGGCAGCAG
RNAcentral lists this ribosomal RNA (324 nucleotides) under uncultured bacterium. Its description in RNAcentral is "bacterial SSU rRNA". It matches the Rfam family "Bacterial small subunit ribosomal RNA", at positions 30 to 354 of the family's 1533-position model. The record is from RNAcentral.